UGCCAGCAGCCGCGGUAAGACAGAGGGUGCAAACGUUGUUCGGAAUUACUGGGCAUAAAGAGCACGUAGGCGGCUCAUCAAGUCACGCGUGAAAUCCCCCGGCUCAACCGGGGAACUGCGUGCGAUACUGAUGGGCUUGAGGUCGGUAGGGGUGAGUGGAACUCCAGGUGGAGCGGUGAAAUGCGUAGAUAUCUGGAGGAACACCGGUGGCGAAGGCGGCUCACUGGCUCGAUACUGACGCUGAGGUACGAAAGUGUGGGGAGCAAACAGGAUUAGAUA
This 279-nucleotide ribosomal RNA is filed under the name uncultured bacterium. RNAcentral describes it as "partial 16S ribosomal RNA". It matches the Rfam family "Bacterial small subunit ribosomal RNA", at positions 506 to 784 of the family's 1533-position model. The record is from RNAcentral.